This 492-nucleotide ribosomal RNA is filed under the name uncultured bacterium. Its description in RNAcentral is "partial 16S ribosomal RNA". It matches the Rfam family "Bacterial small subunit ribosomal RNA", at positions 30 to 507 of the family's 1533-position model. The record is from RNAcentral.
AUUGAACGCUGGCGGCAUGCUUUACACAUGCAAGUCGAACGAUCACAGCGCUUCGGGUGCUGACGAGUGGCGUACGGGUGAGUAAUGCAUCGGAACGUACCCAGUGGUGGGGGAUAACGCAGCGAAAGCUGUGCUAAUACCGCCUGUGAUCUGAGGAUGAAAGCGGGGGACCGCGCAGCAAUGUUUGGCCUCGCGCCUUUGGAGCGGCCGAUGUCGGAUUAGCUAGUGGGUGGGGUAAAGGCCUACCAAGGCGACGAUCCGUAGCUGGUCUGAGAGGACGACCAGCCACACUGGGACUGAGACACGGCCCAGACUCCUACGGGAGGCAGCAGUGGGGAAUUUUGGACAAUGGGCGCAAGCCUGAUCCAGCAAUGCCGCGUGCGGGAAGAAGGCCUUCGGGUUGUAAACCGCUUUUGGCAGGAACGAAACGGUGUCCGCUAAUACCGGGCGCUAAUGACGGUACCUGCAGAAUAAGCACCGACUAACUACGUG